CCAGAACCUCGCCAAUAGCCAAGCAAGCUAUUGCACCUGAACACAACUUCCUGGCAGUCUCCUCCAAAAGGACUCUGUCUAAGAAAGUGGCUUCCAUGAAGGCGGCUUUGCUCCGUGAGCAUCUGACUCAGUUGGAUGUACAGAAGUGAGUCUCAAGGAAUCAGCGGGAGAAGACGGGAAGCCCAGUGCCUGACAGGGCAGAAGAGUCUGGAGAGGACAUAAUAGCCCACGGGGGAGGGAUAAUACCCCCAAUUUACAGACAAAGAAACUGAGGCUCAGGAAGAUGAAAUAAUCUGGUGGAGGACAUAUAGGUGGGCAGCUGAAUCAGUUCCAUAGGAGGCUUCUGGGGGAAAUGCAUCCUGGAGAUUCACAAUUUGCACCUUCGACAGUAUGUUAAAGGCGCUGAG
Long non-coding RNA from Nycticebus coucang (slow loris), 407 nucleotides. RefSeq lists it as uncharacterized. The record is from RefSeq and is a predicted model, not a curated record. The transcript has 4 exons. Lineage: Eukaryota; Metazoa; Chordata; Mammalia; Primates; Lorisidae.